RNAcentral lists this ribosomal RNA (253 nucleotides) under uncultured bacterium. Its description in RNAcentral is "partial 16S ribosomal RNA". It matches the Rfam family "Bacterial small subunit ribosomal RNA", at positions 524 to 776 of the family's 1533-position model. The record is from RNAcentral.
UACGUAGGGUGCAAGCGUUGUUCGGAAUUAUUGGGCGUAAAGCGCGUGUAGGUGACUAGUUAAGUCGGGUGUGAAAUCCCUGGGCUCAACCGAGGAAGUGCACUCGAUACUGGCUGGCUAGAAGAUGGUAGAGGAAGGUGGAAUUCCAAGUGUAGAGGUGAAAUUCGUAGAUAUUUGGAGGAAUACCGGCGGCGAAGGCGGCCUUCUGGGCCAUUCUUGACACUGAGACGCGAAAGCGUGGGGAGCAAACAGG